UUCGCUUAAGGUGAUGGCGUGCCACCUUCCCCAACCGCCGGCGGGCUUUACCCCGGCUGAUGACGCCUGACACUCG
This 76-nucleotide non-coding RNA is filed under the name Pantoea brenneri. RNAcentral's name for it is "crcB". It matches the Rfam family "Fluoride riboswitch aptamer (crcB RNA motif)". The record is from RNAcentral. RNAcentral also lists the same sequence under 1 other name. Lineage: Bacteria; Pseudomonadati; Pseudomonadota; Gammaproteobacteria; Enterobacterales; Erwiniaceae.